RNAcentral lists this long non-coding RNA (202 nucleotides) under Elaeis guineensis (African oil palm). Its description in RNAcentral is "long non-coding RNA (EGUI_LNC006250)". Lineage: Eukaryota; Viridiplantae; Streptophyta; Magnoliopsida; Arecales; Arecaceae. The record is from RNAcentral.
GCCUGGUUUUUUGUGUCAUUAUCAUUAGAGAUUGGUGGAUCAUCCACGGCUCUUUGCCAUGUUUAGGAAUCCAUUCAAGUCUUAAAGGGUGUGGUGGGUCUAAUUUUAUCACCAUCUAUGCUAUAUAUGGAAUUUUGUCUCAUCAUCCUGCUUUAGCUUUGAAAUCGAUGAUCCAUCGAAGUCGGUUAAAUUCCGUCGACUU